CCUGAGUAGCUGGGAUUACAGGCACCCAUCACUACGCCUGGCUAAUUUUUGGUAUUUUUAGUAGAGACAGGGGUUUCCCCAUGUUGGCCAGGCUGGUCUCAAACUCCUGACCUCAGGUGAUCCGCCCAUCUCGGCCUCCCAGAGUGCUGGGAUUACAGUCGUGUGCCACCAGGGCCAGCCUCACUUAGUUUUUAUUGAGUGAGAGAAAGCAUCCCAGGCACCAGGGAUGCUGUGGUUACAAAGCUCCUUAUGGACUUUAUGAUCAACUAGUGGAGGCAGACAGUUGAACUAAUGAGCAGGCAGAUAAAUAAAUACGGGAUUGUACAGGAUGUGGUGAGUGAUCUCCAGGCUGUUACAGAAGCCAAUAAGAGGGUGGUCAGGGAAGUCACCAGAAUGUAUCAUUGAAACUGAAGUUUCCUGAAGCUUUUCUGCUUCCUUAUCCAGGUGGUCUUUGUCUUGUUUUGUUAAGUGAGUCAUAUAUGGGUUCCAUAAAUAUAUCUUAGACAGCUUCUAUGUUUUAGGCAGACUGCUAGGUCCUGGGGCUAUAAAGAUGAUUAAGACUGUGAAGUUGACUGCCAGCAUUGAGUCGUAGUCAGUGCUUAUGCUACUGCUUACCACCAACUAGCCAGUGACUUUGGGCAAAUGAAUGAAUUUCUUUAAAGCUCAGUGUAUGCAUCUAUAUAAUGGGAAUAAUGAUAGAAUCUAGCUAUAGACUACUGUAAGAAUUUAUAUAAAUAUUUUAAGUUUAAUGCAUGCAGAGUUACAUAAAGAAUGAAAAUAUUAGCAAUCAUCAAUAUUGUAUAAUAAGUGUAAGAAACAUCAAGGGCUUAGCACAGUGGUUAGUGCAAUAGAAAGCACUGAAUGUGGCCCCUGGUUGCCACUGUUAGUCUUUCAAGAACUCAUGGUCUAUUGUGGGGGACAAAUGUGCUUGUACAAAUAGAUAAAUAGUAACAAAAGGAUAGAACACCUAGGGAUAGAUUCGGGACAGCCUUGGAAAGGAAAUGACUCUUGAAUUGAGUUUAGGAAUUUACCAGACUCCCCAAUGGAAAAGCAGAGAGAGAGAGAGAAAGAAAAAAAGGAAGUAACGAGUCAGGGGGCAGGAACAUUCAUUCUUCACGGAGAAAACAGCCAGGGCAAGGCCAGGGGUGCUAUGGGAAUACCAGCGAUUCUCAUCUGCAUUUUCAGGCAUUAAGAUAACUCAGCACUAGGGCAGCAAAUUGAACAAAUGAUUUCCAUUGACACAGAAGCCAGAGGUGGGCACAGCUGGAGUGUGUGUGUGUAAGUGGACAAACACGGCCCCCUCUGGCUCUCAGGAAAAUGAGUUUACUUCUGCGUCGACAUGAAGCCACGCAGCUGGUUUGACUGAAUUUUUCACUGCGUUAAUGAUGUUUGGAUAUCAGAAAGAAACAACCUAAAAGAGACGAAUGGGCAGUCUUUUCUCCCUGCGUUAUCUCAGGAGCUAUCUCUGCAGCGGGCGGCUCAAUGGAAGUGCUGUCUGGGAGAGGUCCUGGGUUGAGACUGGGAAGCUCCGUACAUUUCGCGUAAAGAGAAGCCAGAAGAACACAGUGGCUAAACUGUGAAUAAAGCCAACUGUGGGUAUCUGGGUCAGAUUAAAUCACAAGGGCAAAAAAAGAGAUGAUCCAGGUGGGUCUUACAGAAUCACAGGAGCCCUUUAAAAGCAGAGGAUUUUCUCCAGCUGGUCGAGAAGAGGAAGUUAGAGGAAGUCAAAGCAUGAGAGGAACGGAUGUGUCAUUGCUGGUUUGAAGAGGGAGGAACUAUGGGAUGAGGAAUGCGAGUAGCCUGAAGGAGCUGAGAGAGGCCCCGACAGACAGACAACAUGCGACUGGGGAACUGAGUCCUACAACUACCAGGAGCUAAAUUCUGCCAACCACCUGAAUGAACUUGGAAGCAGAUUCUUCCCCCAAGAGCCUCCUGGUAGGAGCAGUGCUUGGCAAACACCUUAAUUUUGGUCUUAAGCAGGGACUCCAGCUCAUCUUUUGACCUUGGGGACUGCAUGCUAUAAAUGAGUGUUGUUUUAACACUCGAAUAAUUUGUUGUACAAUGACAGAAAACCAAUAUACCCAGGUUGAAUAUAAACUCUGUGAGGCCAGGGAUCUUAUCUGUCUUGGUGAUUACUAUAUCAUUAGUUCCUAGGACAGCCUAGCAGACAUCAGACACUGAAAACAUAUUGAUGAAUUGGACUCACAAGUGAUUGGCUGAUGGACAGCAAGUAUUGGGUGGAAAGCCAAAUAAUAAAAUGAAGGUCCUCCCGCGCCUGGGUAGCUGACCCCUUCCCCUGCUUAUGGCAGUUAACUGUUAGACCAUUGAUACAAUCUGUUACGCAUGCAUCUGUUACAAGAUUACAUUCACCUUCAGGCAGUCUUAGUUUUUCAGCCUUAACUCUCAUAAUUAACUCUCAUAACUUUUGGGAAUCAGUUGGAUCCAUUUUAUUAUGGUAUGUUUGUUGUAAUAGAGAGGACAUUCAAUGUCUUUGUUUUACUUCACUGUUCUACUCCUUAGCUGGCUUGCCUUGGACAAGUUAUACAAGCUUUUGGAACCUCAGUUUUUUCAUCUGAAAAUUAGAGCUUAUGGGAGUCCAUAAGACAGAUAGAAUUAAUAUUUUUUUAAAAAUGGCAUUGACAUUACAGCAUAAAAGCAUUAUAAGUUUCAUUGUUUCCUCUCAAGUACUCAUUAUUCUUCAAACUACCAUGUUGUGAGCUCUAUGAUAGAAAUCAUCUGGAAAUAAAAUAUGCCAUUUUACCAC
Molecule: long non-coding RNA, 2764 nt
Filed under: Homo sapiens (human)
Lineage: Eukaryota; Metazoa; Chordata; Mammalia; Primates; Hominidae
Description: HSALNT0237591
Source: RNAcentral